Molecule: ribosomal RNA, 509 nt
Filed under: uncultured bacterium
Lineage: Bacteria
Description: bacterial SSU rRNA
Rfam family: Bacterial small subunit ribosomal RNA
Source: RNAcentral
AGCGAACGUUAGCGGCGGGCCUAACACAUGCAAGUCGAACGCGAAAGGUCUUCGGACUGAGUAGAGUGGCGCACGGGUGAGUAACACGUAGGUAAUCUACCCUUUGGCGGGGAUAACGUUCCGAAAGGAGCGCUAAUACCGCAUAAGACCACGGAGUCUCCGGACGCUGUGGGAAAAGGUGGCCUCUUCUUGAAAGCUACCACCGAAGGAUGAGCCUGCGUCCCAUCAGCUAGUUGGUAAGGUAAUGGCUUACCAAGGCGAAGACGGGUAGCUGGUUUGAGAGAAUGAUCAGCCACACUGGCACUGGAACACGGGCCAGACUCCUACGGGAGGCAGCAGUGAGGAAUAUUGGGCAAUGGGCGAAUGCCUGACCCAGCCACGCCGCGUGAGUGAUGAAGGCCCUCGGGUCGUAAAGACUCUGUGGAGAGGGACGAAAACCCUGGUUUCAAAUAGGCUCCAGGCUUGACGGUACCUCUUUAGCAAAGCACCGGCUAACUCUGUGCCAGCAG